AGCAGGGGAUCUUCGGACCUUGCGCUAAUAGAUGAGCCUAAGUCGGAUUAGCUAGUUGGUGGGGUAAAGGCCUACCAAGGCGACGAUCUGUAGCGGGUCUGAGAGGAUGAUCCGCCACACUGGGACUGAGACACGGCCCAGACUCCUACGGGAGGCAGCAGUGGGGAAUAUUGGACAAUGGGGGGAACCCUGAUCCAGCCAUGCCGCGUGUGUGAAGAAGGCCUUAUGGUUGUAAAGCACUUUAAGCGAGGAGGAGGCUACUGAGACUAAUACUCUUGGAUAGUGGACGUUACUCGCAGAAUAAGCACCGGCUAUCUCUGUGCCAGCAGCCGCGGUAAUACAGAGGGCGCGAGCGUUAAUCGGAUUUACUGGGCGUAAAGCGUGCGUAGGCGGCUUUUUAAGUCGGAUGUGAAAUCCCCGAGCUUAACUUGGGAAUUGCAUUCGAUACUGGGAAGCUAGAGUAUGGGAGAGGAUGGUAGAAUUCCAGGUGUAGCGGUGAAAUGCGUAGAGAUCUGGAGGAAUACCGAUGGCGAAGGCAGCCAUCUGGCCUAAUACUGACGCUGAGGUACGAAAGCAUGGGGAGCAAACAGGAUUAGAUACCCUGGUAGUCCAUGCCGUAAACGAUGUCUACUAGCCGUUGGGGCCUUUGAGGCUUUAGUGGCGCAGCUAACGCGAUAAGUAGACCGCC
RNAcentral lists this ribosomal RNA (688 nucleotides) under uncultured Gammaproteobacteria bacterium. RNAcentral describes it as "bacterial SSU rRNA". It matches the Rfam family "Bacterial small subunit ribosomal RNA", at positions 202 to 873 of the family's 1533-position model. The record is from RNAcentral. Lineage: Bacteria; Pseudomonadati; Pseudomonadota; Gammaproteobacteria.